This 655-nucleotide long non-coding RNA is filed under the name Lepidothrix coronata (blue-crowned manakin). RNAcentral describes it as "lncRNA (ENSLCOG00000008661.1)". Lineage: Eukaryota; Metazoa; Chordata; Aves; Passeriformes; Pipridae. The record is from RNAcentral.
CUGCUUUUCUCACUCCAGGUUGUCAUUUCUCCUAGGUGUGUCCAGCCUCCUGUGAAAUGCUGAAGGGCAAACCUGGAGAAGGGAUGAAAUCCCUCAGCUCUUAUCCCAGCAGGGAGGAACUGGGGAGCAGUUGGUGUGGUGCCAUCUCAGCCCAGCUCUGGGGGGUUGGGUUACCCAAAGGUUGGGAUGAAGCUGGAGAGCUGGAAAUAUCCAGAUGUGAAGAUCCAGGGUAGCUGCUGCUUUCACUUCCCCAUCUUCAGAAGGAGAAGCUGUGGGGUCCCAGCAGUGGGAGGAGGAGGAGGAGGAUGCAGCAGCAGGUACGAAACAGGUUUGAUUGGAGCUGCAGCUCCUGCUUUAAAUUGCUUUGGGGAUAAUUGAGUGACUCCUCUCCCUCUGUCCCUUUCCAUGCCCUGUUCCAGGGCUGGCAGUGGACAGGGGUGAUUGCUUUGAAGUGCUCUCCUGCUUUCUGGAUGAUUCACACUGGUAGGAGAGGCUUCCUGCCUUGCCAUGACUUAGGGAAAAGCUCCAUUUCAUAAUGUCUCCUUACUCUUAGCAGGGCUUGUGUCUGUUCCCGAAACUCCCACUGUUUUCACUGCAGGCAUGACCAGACUGUGAAAUAGCUUGGCUGGGCUGGUGAAUAAUCUCUGAGGCUCUU